RNAcentral lists this ribosomal RNA (487 nucleotides) under uncultured soil bacterium. RNAcentral's name for it is "bacterial SSU rRNA". It matches the Rfam family "Bacterial small subunit ribosomal RNA", at positions 26 to 507 of the family's 1533-position model. The record is from RNAcentral.
AGAGUGAACGCUGGCGGUAGGCCUAACACAUGCAAGUCGAACGGCAGCACAGUAGGAGCUUGCUCUUACGGGUGGCGAGUGGCGGACGGGUGAGGAAUACAUCGGAAUCUACCUUUUGGUGGGGGAUAACGUAGGGAAACUUACGCUAAUACCGCAUACGCCCUUCGGGGGAAAGCCGGGACCAGCAAUGGCCUGGCGCUGAUAGAUGAGCCGAUGUCGGAUUAGCUAGUUGGUGAGGUAAUGGCUCACCAAGGCGACGAUCCGUAACUGGUCUGAGAGGAUGAUCAGUCACACUGGAACUGAGACACGGUCCAGACUCUACGGAGGCAGCAGUGGGAAUAUGGACAAUGGGCGAAAGCUGAUCCAGCCAUGCCGCGUGUGUGAGAAGGUCUUCGGAUUGUAAAGCACUUUAAGUGGAGGAAGGCAGUUAACCUAAUACGUUAGUAGUUUGACGUUACCGAUAGAAUAAGCACCGGCUAACUCUGUG